UACGGAGGGUGCAAGCGUUAUCCGGAUUCACUGGGUUUAAAGGGUGCGUAGGCGGACAGGUAAGUCAGCGGUGAAAUCUCCGAGCUUAACUCGGAAACUGCCUUUGAUACUCUCUGUCUUGAAUAUGGUGGAGGUAAGCGGAAUAUGUCAUGUAGCGGUGAAAUGCUUAGAGAUGACAUAGAACACCUAUUGCGAAGGCAGCUUACUACGCCUAUAUUGACGCUGAGGCACGAAAGCGUGGGGAUCAAACAGG
Molecule: ribosomal RNA, 253 nt
Filed under: uncultured bacterium
Lineage: Bacteria
Description: partial 16S ribosomal RNA
Rfam family: Bacterial small subunit ribosomal RNA
Source: RNAcentral